UUACUCCCUCCGUCCCAAAAAAAGGCAAACACUGGGUUUCCGUAUCCAACUUUGACUAUCCGUCUUAUAUGAAAUUUUUUUAUAAUUCAUAUUUUCAUUAUUGUUAGAUGAUAAAACAUGAUUAAUAUUUUAUACGUGACUUGUCUUUUUAAUUUUUUUCAUAAUUUUUUUAAAUAAGACGAACGGUCAAACGUUGGACACGAAAAUCAGGGUUUGCCUUUUUUUUUUGAGACGGAGGGAGUAUGAUCUC
Molecule: microRNA precursor, 250 nt
Filed under: Oryza sativa (Asian cultivated rice)
Lineage: Eukaryota; Viridiplantae; Streptophyta; Magnoliopsida; Poales; Poaceae
Description: partial microRNA MIR438d-4 precursor
Rfam family: MIR812 microRNA precursor family (bases 19-223)
Source: RNAcentral